ACCAAAUUCUGAACCACGAAAAUUGGAUCUGGAUGAUUUUUCUGAUGGAUUAUAUCUUGAUGAAUUUCUAACCCCAAAAUUGACAAUUUCUUGCAGACCACAUCGAGCAUGCACAAAUAUAGAAAUCAAGGAACAUGAGGAAUAUCAUCUUUGUUACUACGGUAAACGUGAAAAACAUGACAAUACAUAUACAUGUAUAUGCGAAGAAGGAUGGAAAGGCGAACAUUGUGACAAAAUAAACCAGGAACACUGUGAAAGAGAAAUUAAACUGGUUUCGUUUUCCAAGGAUUCCUUUUUGUGGCAAGAUACACUUGUGUCAUCAUAUGCGACAGUUUCCUGCCCCCCUGAAUACACAGGACACGCUACAAGAUAUUGCAGAAGUUCAAACAUAACGAAGUAUGGUGGGCAAUGGGAAAAACCAGAUUUAACAAACUGUGUCAGUCGUGAAAUAAAAUUAAUAGCUGAUAAGGUAAAA
Molecule: long non-coding RNA, 475 nt
Organism: Mytilus californianus (California mussel)
Lineage: Eukaryota; Metazoa; Mollusca; Bivalvia; Mytilida; Mytilidae
Exons: 4
Source: RefSeq, a predicted model, not a curated record